Molecule: non-coding RNA, 80 nt
Organism: Potamilus streckersoni
Lineage: Eukaryota; Metazoa; Mollusca; Bivalvia; Unionida; Unionidae
Source: the annotation of a GenBank genome assembly
UGUGAUACGUUUAGCCUAGUGGUUAGAGCGUCUGCCUCUGAUGAGGACGGUCGUGGGUUCGAUCCCCGGCCUAGUCAUAC